RNAcentral lists this unclassified non-coding RNA (397 nucleotides) under Hevea brasiliensis (rubber tree). Lineage: Eukaryota; Viridiplantae; Streptophyta; Magnoliopsida; Malpighiales; Euphorbiaceae. The record is from RNAcentral.
UUGACGCGGCGGUGCCAGCGGCGCCAGAUCUUGGUGGGGGCGAACAUGCGACCGCCUCGGCACAUGUUGCCGAAUGCUCCCUGGCCGGCGCGGUGGGUGCCGCCGCCGGGUACACGGGGGAUACGCGAGACGGCACGGCCAGUUCCCCAGGACUCGGCGGAGGUCUGAUGCCCUGCGCGCUUGGAGACGGCGUAGGGCUGGCGGGCGUUUUUGGAGAGAUUGGAGUGGACGAAGCGAACGACAUCUGGGCGGAUCGAGGAUUUCAUGACGUCGGGGAGGGGGAGGGAGGAGGCAGCGUUGGUUUCCAUGUCACCGUCGAGGGCUUGGAUGGUGACGAGGGGGCGGACGGCGGCGGUGGCCAUUGGUGGAGCUGCGGCGGCGCUAGGGUUAGGGUUUG